UACGAGAGGUCCAAACGUUAUUCGGAAUCACUGGGCUUACAGAGUUCGUAGGCGGUACGGAAAGUGGGGUGUGAAAGCCCUCGGCUCAACCGAGGAACUGCGCUCCAAACUACCGUGCUAGAGGAAGAUAGAGGUGAGCAGAACUGAUGGUGGAGCGGUGAAAUGCGUUGAUAUCAUCAGGAAUACCGGAGGCGAAGGCGGCUCACUGGGCCAGUUCUGACGCUGAGGAGCGAAAGCGUGGGGAGCGAACAGG
RNAcentral lists this ribosomal RNA (253 nucleotides) under uncultured bacterium. RNAcentral describes it as "partial 16S ribosomal RNA". It matches the Rfam family "Bacterial small subunit ribosomal RNA", at positions 524 to 776 of the family's 1533-position model. The record is from RNAcentral.